GUGAACCCAGGAAAGAAGGCAAGAAAGGAUAUACCACCAAUUCAUACUGCAGAGCCAUUUUCAGAGGACUUUGGAUAUUUUAAGAAGAACCAUUGAAGAUUAGGGACCUCCUGGGAAACCUAUUAUUUCCCAGAUGUUCAAGUGUCACACUGUGUCCUGAAGAAAACCUGGUGUCCAUCCACUGGUUCCUUUGCUUUCAACAUACUGCAACAUAUUGUCAUUUAAAUGUACUCAGGUAUACAAAGAACUUGAAGAGAUGGGAGAUGGUCUGAUAAUUAAGAAGACACAUGUCCAGGGGGGAGCCAAGGUGGCGGAACAGCAUGGAAGUUUUUUGUGUGUCUCACAUCCAUGAAAUAUAGCCAGACCAACACUCAACCAUCCUGAACACCUAGAAAACUUCUCUGAGGAUUAACACAACCAUCUGCACAACCUG
This 433-nucleotide long non-coding RNA is filed under the name Felis catus (domestic cat). RNAcentral describes it as "lncRNA (ENSFCAG00000050296.1)". The record is from RNAcentral. Lineage: Eukaryota; Metazoa; Chordata; Mammalia; Carnivora; Felidae.